This 489-nucleotide ribosomal RNA is filed under the name uncultured bacterium. RNAcentral describes it as "bacterial SSU rRNA". It matches the Rfam family "Bacterial small subunit ribosomal RNA", at positions 32 to 493 of the family's 1533-position model. The record is from RNAcentral.
UCAACGCUGGCGGCGUGCCUAACACAUGCAAGUCGAGCGCGAACGGGGACUUCGGUUCCCUAGUAGAGCGGCGAACGGGUGAGUAACACGUGGGUAAUCUGCCUCCGGGUGGGGAAUAACUCAGGGAAACUUGAGCUAAUUCCGCAUAACGUGGACGAUCACAGGAUCGGCUACCAAAGCUGGGGACCCUUCGGGGCCUGGCGCCUGGAGAGGAGCCCACGGCCAAUUAGCUUGUUGGUGAGGUAAUGGCUCACCAGAUGCUCCGAUUGGUAGCCGGUCUGAGAGGGCGGACGGUCACACUGGAACUGAGACACGGUCCAAACUCCUACUGGAGGCAGCAGUGAUGAAUUUUCGUCAAUGGGGGAAACCCUGAACGAGCAACGCCGCGUGGAUGACGAAGACCUUCGGGUUGUAAACUCCUGUCAGACGGCCACGAAAGUUACCGAGGUCAAUACCCUUGGUAGUUGACGGUACCGUACGAUGAACCCC